Molecule: ribosomal RNA, 892 nt
Filed under: uncultured bacterium
Lineage: Bacteria
Description: bacterial SSU rRNA
Rfam family: Bacterial small subunit ribosomal RNA
Source: RNAcentral
GUGCCAGCAGCCGCGGUAAUACGUAGGUGGCAAGCGUUGUCCGGAUUUAUUGGGCGUAAAGCGAGCGCAGGCGGUUUCUUAAGUCUGAUGUGAAAGCCUUCGGCUCAACCGAAGAAGUGCAUCGGAAACUGGGAAACUUGAGUGCAGAAGAGGACAGUGGAACUCCAUGUGUAGCGGUGAAAUGCGUAGAUAUAUGGAAGAACACCAGUGGCGAAGGCGGCUGUCUGGUCUGUAACUGACGCUGAGGCUCGAAAGCAUGGGUAGCAAACAGGAUUAGAUACCCUGGUAGUCCAUGCCGUAAACGAUGAGUGCUAGGUGUUGGAGGGUUUCCGCCCUUCAGUGCCGCAGCUAACGCAUUAAGCACUCCGCCUGGGGAGUACGACCGCAAGGUUGAAACUCAAAGGAAUUGACGGGGGCCCGCACAAGCGGUGGAGCAUGUGGUUUAAUUCGAAGCAACGCGAAGAACCUUACCAGGUCUUGACAUCCUUUGACCACUCUAGAGAUAGAGCUUUCCCUUCGGGGACAAAGUGACAGGUGGUGCAUGGUUGUCGUCAGCUCGUGUCGUGAGAUGUUGGGUUAAGUCCCGCAACGAGCGCAACCCUUAUUACUAGUUGCCAGCAUUAAGUUGGGCACUCUAGUGAGACUGCCGGUGACAAACCGGAGGAAGGUGGGGACGACGUCAAAUCAUCAUGCCCCUUAUGACCUGGGCUACGCACGUGCUACAAUGGAUGGUACAACGAGUUGCGAGACCGCGAGGUUUAGCUAAUCUCUUAAAACCAUUCUCAGUUCGGAUUGUAGGCUGCAACUCGCCUACAUGAAGCCGGAAUCGCUAGUAAUCGCGGAUCAGCAUGCCGCGGUGAAUACGUUCCCGGGCCUUGUACACACCGCCCGU